GGGGCUAUAGCUCAGUGGUAGAGUGCAUGCUUGAUGCGCACGAGGGCCUGAGUUCAAUCUGCAGUGCCUCUG
This 72-nucleotide transfer RNA is filed under the name Camelus bactrianus (Bactrian camel). It matches the Rfam family "tRNA". Rfam says of the family: Transfer RNA (tRNA) molecules are approximately 80 nucleotides in length. RNAcentral also lists the same sequence under 2 other names. Lineage: Eukaryota; Metazoa; Chordata; Mammalia; Artiodactyla; Camelidae. The record is from Rfam by way of RNAcentral.